GACGAACGCUGGCGGCGUGCUUAACACAUGCAAGUCGAACGGAAAGGCCCGGCGCUUGUGGGGUGCUCGAGUGGCGAACGGGGGAGUAUCACGUGAGUAACCUGCCCUUGACUUUGGGGUAACUUCAGGAAACUGGGGCUAAUACAGGAUAUGAGCUCCUGCUGCAUGGUGGGGGUUGGAAAGUUUCGGCGGUUGGGGAUGGACUCGCGGUUUAUCAGCUUGUUGGUGGGGUAGUGGCGUACCAAGGCUUUGACGGGUAGCCGGCCUGAGAGGGUGACCGGCCACAUUGGGACUGGGAUACGGCCCAGACUGCUACGGGAGGCAGCAGUGGGGAAUAGUGCACGAUGGGCGGAAGCCUGAUGCAGCAACUCCGCGUGCGGGAUGACGGCCUUCGGGUUGUAAACCGCUUUCGCCUGUGACGAAGCGUGAGUGACGGUAAUGGGUAAAGAAGCAACGGCUAACUACGUG
Molecule: ribosomal RNA, 468 nt
Filed under: uncultured bacterium
Lineage: Bacteria
Description: partial 16S ribosomal RNA
Rfam family: Bacterial small subunit ribosomal RNA
Source: RNAcentral